CCAGAGCAACGGUCACAGAACCGUUAGGAGGUCUCACUCUGACGCCGUUUCGAGGCACUAGAGCAACGGUCACAGAACCGUUAGGAGGAGGUCUCACUCUGACGCCGUUUCACGGCACUAGAGCAACGGUCACAGAACCGUUGGGAGGAGGUCUCACUCUGACGCUGUUUCGCGGCACCAGAGCAAC
This is a long non-coding RNA of Sander lucioperca (pikeperch), 187 nucleotides long. RefSeq lists it as uncharacterized. Lineage: Eukaryota; Metazoa; Chordata; Actinopteri; Perciformes; Percidae. The transcript is spliced from 3 exons. The record is from RefSeq and is a predicted model, not a curated record.